GGGGAAUAUUGCACAAUGGGGGAAACCCUGAUGCAGCGACGCCGCGUGGAGGAAGAAGGUCUUCGGAUUGUAAACUCCUGUUGUUGAGGAAGAUAAUGACGGUACCUAACAAGAAAGCACCGGCUAACUACGUGCCAGCAGCCGCGGUAAAACGUAGGGUGCAAGCGUUGUCCGGAAUUACUGGGUGUAAAGGGAGCGCAGGCGGGAAGACAAGUUGGAAGUGAAAACCAUGGGCUCAACCCAUGAAUUGCUUUCAAAACUGUUUUUCUUGAGUAGUGCAGAGGUAGAUGGAAUUCCCGGUGUAGCGGUGGAAUGCGUAGAUAUCGGGAGGAACACCAGUGGCGAAGGCGGUCUACUGGGCACCAACUGACGCUGAGGCUCGAAAGCAUGGGUAGCAAACAGGAUUAGAUACCCUGGUAGUCCAUGCCGUAAACGAUGAUUACUAGGUGUUGGGGGAUUGACCCCCUCAGUGCCGCAGUUAACACAAUAAGUAAUCCACCUGGGGAGUACGCCGGCAACGGUGAAACUCAAAGGAAUUGACGGGGGCCCGCACAAGCAGUGGAGUAUGUGGUUUAAUUCGAAGCAACGCGAAGAACCUUACCAGGUCUUGACAUCGUAUGCUAUCUGUAGAAGUACAGAGUUCUCUUCGGAGACGUACAGACAGGUGGUGCAUGGUUGUCGUCAGCUCGUGUCGUGAGAUGUUGGGUUAAGUCCCGCAACGAGCGCAACCCUUAUGUUUAGUUGCUACGCAAGAGCACUCUAGACAGACUGCCGUUGACAAAACGGAGGAAGGUGGGGAUGACGUCAAAUCAUCGUGCCCCUUAUGACCUGGGCUACACACGUACUACAAUGGCCGUUAACAGAGGGCAGCGACACCGCGAGGUGAAGCGAAUCUCCAAAAACGGUCUCAGUUCAGAUUGCAGGCUGCAACCCGCCUGCAUGAAGAUGGAAUUGCUAGUAAUCGCGGAUCAGAAUGCCGCGGUGAAUACGUUCCUG
This 996-nucleotide ribosomal RNA is filed under the name uncultured bacterium. RNAcentral's name for it is "bacterial SSU rRNA". It matches the Rfam family "Bacterial small subunit ribosomal RNA", at positions 356 to 1376 of the family's 1533-position model. The record is from RNAcentral.